RNAcentral lists this ribosomal RNA (506 nucleotides) under uncultured bacterium. Its description in RNAcentral is "partial 16S ribosomal RNA". It matches the Rfam family "Bacterial small subunit ribosomal RNA", at positions 30 to 523 of the family's 1533-position model. The record is from RNAcentral.
AUUGAACGCUGGCGGCAGGCCUAACACAUGCAAGUCGAACGGCAGCACAGAAGAGCUUGCUCUUUGGGUGGCGAGUGGCGGACGGGUGAGUAAUGUCUGGGAAACUGCCCGAUGGAGGGGGAUAACUACUGGAAACGGUAGCUAAUACCGCAUAACGUCGCAAGACCAAAGUGGGGGACCUUCGGGCCUCACACCAUCGGAUGUGCCCAGAUGGGAUUAGCUAGUAGGUGGGGUAAUGGCUCACCUAGGCGACGAUCCCUAGCUGGUCUGAGGGGAUGACCAGCCACACUGGAACUGAGACACGGUCCAGACUCCUACGGGGUGCAGCAGUGGGGAAUAUUGCACAAUGGGCGCAAGCCUGAUGCAGCCAUGCCGCGUGUAUGAAGAAGGCCUUCGGGUUGUAAAGUACUUUCAGCGGGGAGGAAGGCGGUGAGGUUAAUAACCUUGCCGAUUGACGUUACCCGCAGAAGAAGCACCGGCUAACUCCGUGCCAGCAGCCGCCGUAA